Molecule: ribosomal RNA, 253 nt
Filed under: uncultured bacterium
Lineage: Bacteria
Description: partial 16S ribosomal RNA
Rfam family: Bacterial small subunit ribosomal RNA
Source: RNAcentral
GACAGAGGAUGCAAGCGUUAUCCGGAAUGAUUGGGCGUAAAGCGUGCGCAGGCGGUUUUGUAAGACAGAUGUGAAAUCCCCGGGCUUAACCUGGGACCUGCAUUUGUGACUGCAAGGCUAGAGUACGGUAGAGGGGGAUGGAAUUCCGCGUGUAGCAGUGAAAUGCGUAGAUAUGCGGAGGAACACCGAUGGCGAAGGCAAUCCCCUGGACCUGUACUGACGCUCAUGCACGAAAGCGUGGGGAGCAAACAGG